AGUGAACGCUGGCGGUAGGCCUAACACAUGCAAGUCGAACGGCAGCACAGUAAGAGCUUGCUCUUACGGGUGGCGAGUGGCGGACGGGUGAGGAAUACAUCGGAAUCUACUUUUUCGUGGGGGAUAACGUAGGGAAACUUACGCUAAUACCGCAUACGACCUACGGGUGAAAGCAGGGGAUCUUCGGACCUUGCGCGAUUGAAUGAGCCGAUGUCGGAUUAGCUAGUUGGCGGGGUAAAGGCCCACCAAGGCGACGAUCCGUAGCUGGUCUGAGAGGAUGAUCAGCCACCCUGGAACUGAGACACGGUCCAGACUCCUACGGGAGGCCGCAGUGGGGAAUAUUGGACAAUGGGCGCAAGCCUGAUCCAGCCAUACCGCGUGGGUGAAGAAGGCCUUCGGGUUGUAAAGCCCUUUUGUUGGGAAAGAAAAGCAGCAGGUUAAUACCCCGCUGUUCUGACGGUACCCAAAGAAUAAGCACCGGCUAACUUCGUG
This 492-nucleotide ribosomal RNA is filed under the name uncultured bacterium. Its description in RNAcentral is "partial 16S ribosomal RNA". It matches the Rfam family "Bacterial small subunit ribosomal RNA", at positions 29 to 507 of the family's 1533-position model. The record is from RNAcentral.